AGUGAACGGCAAAACAAGUGUGCUGGUACUUCGCCCUUAUUCCCUUUUUUGCGGCAUUUUGCCUUCCUGUUUUUGCUCACCCAGAAACGCUGGUGAAAGUAAAAGAUGCUGAAGAUCAGUUGGGUGCACGAGUGGGUUACAUCGAACUGGAUCUCAACAGCGGUAAGAUCCUUGAGAGUUUUCGCCCCGAAGAACGUUUUCCAAUGAUGAGCACUUUUAAAGUUCUGCUAUGUGGCGCGGUAUUAUCCCGUAUUGACGCCGGGCAAGAGCAACUCGGUCGCCGCAUACACUAUUCUCAGAAUGGACUUUGGUUUG
RNAcentral lists this ribosomal RNA (315 nucleotides) under Bacillus sp. BAKZL1109. RNAcentral describes it as "partial 16S ribosomal RNA". Lineage: Bacteria; Bacillati; Bacillota; Bacilli; Caryophanales; Bacillaceae. The record is from RNAcentral.